UACGGAGGAUGCAAGCGUUAUCCGGAAUGAUUGGGCGUAAAGAGCUCGUAGGCGGUUUGUCGCGUCGUCUGUGAAAACUCGCAGCUCAACUGUGGGCGUGCAGGCGAUACGGGCAGACUUGAGUACUGCAGGGGAGACUGGAAUUCCUGGUGUAGCGGUGAAAUGCGCAGAUAUCAGGAGGAACACCGGUGGCGAAGGCGGUUCUCUGGGCCUUACCUGACGCUGAGGAGCGAAAGCGUGGGGAGCGAACAGG
Molecule: ribosomal RNA, 253 nt
Filed under: uncultured bacterium
Lineage: Bacteria
Description: partial 16S ribosomal RNA
Rfam family: Bacterial small subunit ribosomal RNA
Source: RNAcentral